AAGAAGAAGAAGCAGAGAGGGAGAGCUUCGUCGGUCUCUCCUGUCGAUCUCUUCGUCUCCCUCUCGAGUUCAACCUCCCUCUCUUUCUCAAAUCGGCAUCAACUCCUUUCUCUACAUGGUGAAAUAUUAAACAGCUCCUUUGUCAUUGCAACAAUCAAGGGCCUGCGCUUUGUUUUAGAGCAAAUUCAGGAGCUAAAGCGAGAAAUUAGCAAAGCACGCAUACGGAUGAUGAAACCGUUCAUCAAGGGUCCAGCUUGGGUAACUAUCCUUUUUAUUUAUUCUUUAUAUUCUUUGAAUUUGUAGCUAUAGUUCAACCAAGUGUGGUCCAAGGCAACUCUAAGCAUUUGAAGGAGGAGUGCAAGUGAUCCAAGGUUGGAGUACAUAUAGCCUCACUAGGCAUGGUAUUAACAGAUUUGCUUCUAAGGUAACUUUGGUGGCAGUUCCAAAUGCCUUAAUGCCUGUAGCUUUCCUCCUGAAAAUUAAUGUAUUUUGGAUGAGUUC
Magnolia sinica is the source of this 501-nucleotide long non-coding RNA. RefSeq lists it as uncharacterized. NCBI's taxonomy places the organism in Eukaryota, Viridiplantae, Streptophyta, Magnoliopsida, Magnoliales, Magnoliaceae. The record is from RefSeq and is a predicted model, not a curated record. The transcript has 3 exons.